This 76-nucleotide transfer RNA is filed under the name Synergistes sp. 3_1_syn1. Its description in RNAcentral is "tRNA-Phe". It matches the Rfam family "tRNA". Rfam says of the family: Transfer RNA (tRNA) molecules are approximately 80 nucleotides in length. Their secondary structure includes four short double-helical elements and three loops (D, anti-codon, and T loops). The record is from RNAcentral. Lineage: Bacteria; Thermotogati; Synergistota; Synergistia; Synergistales; Synergistaceae. RNAcentral also lists the same sequence under 16 other names.
GGCGGGAUAGCUCAGUAGGUAGAGCAACGGACUGAAAAUCCGUGUGUCCCCAGUUCAAUUCUGGGUCCCGCCACCA